This 253-nucleotide ribosomal RNA is filed under the name uncultured bacterium. Its description in RNAcentral is "partial 16S ribosomal RNA". It matches the Rfam family "Bacterial small subunit ribosomal RNA", at positions 524 to 776 of the family's 1533-position model. The record is from RNAcentral.
UACGUAGGGUGCGAGCGUUAAUCGGAAUUACUGGGCGUAAAGCGUGCGCAGGCGGUUCGUUAAGUCAGAUGUGAAAGCCCCGGGCUCAACCUGGGAACUGCAUUUGAAACUGGCGGGCUUGAGUAUGGCAGAGGGGGGUGGAAUUCCGCGUGUAGCGGUGAAAUGCGUAGAGAUGCGGAGGAACACCGAUGGCGAAAGCGGCGCACUGGACCAUAACUGACGCUGAGGCGCGAAAGCUAGGGGAGCAAACAGG